Molecule: ribosomal RNA, 668 nt
Filed under: uncultured bacterium
Lineage: Bacteria
Description: bacterial SSU rRNA
Rfam family: Bacterial small subunit ribosomal RNA
Source: RNAcentral
GCAAGUCGUACGGGAGUUUUAACUCAAGUGGCGGACGGGUGAGUAACACGUGAGAAUCUACCUAUAGGAAGGAAAUAUCAUUGAGAAAUUAAUGCUAAAGUCCUAUAUACCUUUUGGUGAAAUAAAGAAAUUUGCCUAUAGAAGAGCUCGCGUCUGAUUAGCUUGUUGGUGAGGUAAAGGCUCACCAAGGCGAUGAUCAGUAGUUGGUCUGAGAGGAUGGUCAGCCACACUGGAACUGAGACACGGUCCAAACUCCUGCGGGAGGCAGCAGUGAGGAAUUUUCCGCAAUGAGCGAAAGCUUGACGGAGCAAUACCGCGUGAGGGAUGACGGCCUUCGGGUUGUAAACCUCUUUUUUCAGGGAAGAAGACAUGACGUGUACCUGAAGAAUAAGCAUCGGCUAACUCCGUGCCAGCAGCCGCGGUAAGACGGAGGAUGCAAGUGUUAUCCGGAAUUAUUGGGCGUAAAGCGUCUGUAGGUGGUUUAAUAAGUCUGUUGUUAAAGGUUAAAGCUUAACUUUAAAGUUGCAAUGGAUACUGUUAGGCUUGAGUAUAGUCGAGGUAGAAGGAAUUUCCAGUGAAGCGGAUGAAAUGCGUAGAUAUUGGAAAGAACACCAAUGGCGAAAGCAUUCUGCCAGAUUUUUACUGACACUGAGAGACGAAAGCUAGGG